This 375-nucleotide unclassified non-coding RNA is filed under the name uncultured bacterium. RNAcentral's name for it is "contains 16S-23S intergenic spacer region". The record is from RNAcentral.
UCCGGUUUGGCACCGGCAGUCUCCGAUGAGUCCCCGGCAUGACCCGCUGGCAACUAGGGACAGGGGUUGCGCUCGUUGCGCCACUUAAGGCAACACCUCACGGCACGAGCUGACGACAGCCAUGCACCACCAGUGCAGGCUCCGUAGAGCGCCGGCUUUCACCGGCUUUGCCCCGCAUGUCAAGCCCAGGUAAGGUUCUUCGCGUCGCAUCGAAUUAAGCCGCAUGCUCCGCCGCUUGUGCGGGCCCCCGUCAAUUCCUUUGAGUUUCAGCCUUGCGACUGUACUCCCCAGGCGGUAUACUUAACGCGUUAGCUACGGCACAACUAGGGUUGAGUCCAGUUACACCAAGUAUACAUAGUUUACGGCAAGGACUAC